GUGCUCACUUCAGCAGCACAUAUACUAAAAUUAGAACGAUUUAGAGAUGAGCAUGGCUCCUGUGCAAGGAUGACAUGCAAAUCUGUGAAGCAUUCCAUAUUUUU
Molecule: small nuclear RNA, 104 nt
Filed under: Microcebus murinus (gray mouse lemur)
Lineage: Eukaryota; Metazoa; Chordata; Mammalia; Primates; Cheirogaleidae
Source: RNAcentral